CCUACGGGGGGCUGCAGUAAGGAAUCUUCCGCAAUGCACGAAAGUGUGACGGAGCGACGCCGAGUGAAGGAUGAAGUUCUUCGGAAUGUAAACUUCUAAAAUCUGUUAGAAAGUUCUGAUCAGCAGACUAUAAGUGGCGACUAACUCUGUGCCAGCAGUCGCGGUAAUACAGAGGCCACGAGCGUUAGGCGGAAUCACUGGGCUUAAAGCGUGUGUAGGUGGAUCGGUAAGUACCUUGUAAAAUCCCACAGCUCAACUGUGGAACUGCUCGGUAUACUGCCAGUCUUGAGGCACUCAGGGGCGAGCGGAACAAGUGGUGGAGCGGUGAAAUGCGUAGAUAUCACUUGGAACGCCAAUGGUGAAGACAGCUCGCUGGGGGUGAACUGACACUGAGACACGAAAGCCAGGGGAGCGAACGGGAUUAGAUACCCCGGUAGUC
RNAcentral lists this ribosomal RNA (439 nucleotides) under uncultured bacterium. RNAcentral's name for it is "bacterial SSU rRNA". It matches the Rfam family "Bacterial small subunit ribosomal RNA", at positions 338 to 795 of the family's 1533-position model. The record is from RNAcentral.